UUUUGUGUUUUGCUCUCAACGUUUAUUUUGGCCUUCUUUUCCUGGCCAAAUGAUUUAAUUUCAUGCAUUUCGCUUUGCGGCAAUGGCGAUGCUUAUUAGUUGCAAUUUGCCAGCUGGGGCCAAAGUUUGCUCUAGCCGAAAACCAACAGCAAGCCACACAAAAUAAACCAAAUAAAUUUAAUAAUUGCUGUCCUGAGAAGUUGAUAGGAUGGGUAAAAAUAAAGGAGGCGGAGGCGGCGGUGGUGGAGGCGGAGGAGGUGGUGGUGGUGGAGGAGGCGGUGGCGGCAAUGUAAGCAAUAUUUGUGUUAUGCAACUUGCGUACUAAUUAAAAAGGGCGGUGGCGGUGGAGGCGGAGGUGGAUCCGGAAAUAAAAACAAAGGAGGCGAUGGAGGCGGUGCUGACAAAGGUGGAGCCAAGAAAGGACAGGACCAAAAGGCAGCCGCAGGCGGCGGCAAGAAAGGAGGCAAGAAAUAACAACGGUAGCAACAUCAAAGCGCAUUAAAAAUUACAAAUUUAGAGUUAAGUUGAAAUUAAAAGUGAUAUCAUAAUAUAUGUAUCUAUAAUGUA
RNA transcript from Drosophila eugracilis, 567 nucleotides. It is a transcript of the gene named putative glycine-rich cell wall structural protein 1, with no coding region annotated. The record is from RefSeq and is a predicted model, not a curated record. The transcript is spliced from 2 exons. NCBI's taxonomy places the organism in Eukaryota, Metazoa, Arthropoda, Insecta, Diptera, Drosophilidae.